Long non-coding RNA from Lates calcarifer (barramundi perch), 683 nucleotides. RefSeq lists it as uncharacterized. NCBI's taxonomy places the organism in Eukaryota, Metazoa, Chordata, Actinopteri, Centropomidae. The transcript is spliced from 5 exons. The record is from RefSeq and is a predicted model, not a curated record.
CGUCAUUCCAUUUCCUAUCACAAAUCAAAACAGGUAAUAUUACUGCGACGCUGUUGCCCAACCACUGGUGCUGAGGCAGUGGAAGCAGCAUUUUUAUCCAUGUCUGUCUCUUGAUAGCUGACUUGCCAAAGCACAUCAUCAUCCACUCCAAGAGCAGGGAUUUCUGGGCCUUCAGGCGGCAGGCGAGGGACAUGAAGAUAGAGUCGACGUUCUGACUCUCCCUCGGGUCCUUGGCUGAUGUCUCAAACAGCAGCAUGUUGUGGGCGUCAGCAAACUUCAGCGCCAUAUUGGAGGGCACCUGGGACAGGACCAGUGUUUGGUUGUAAACCUGAAUUACAUUUAGCAAGGUUGCGGAAGGAAGCCAUCUUGGUGACAUCAUACACAAAGACCACUGCAUGGACAUUGCGGUAGUAGUGCUCCACCAUGGAUUUACGAAAGCGCUCCUGGCCUGCUGUGUCCCACACCUGCACCUGUGGAGAUAGACAAGCAAACAACCAACUGGCUCCUGCGAGAAGUUGAGAUCCUCUGCAAGGACGAUUUACCGUUUGCCAGAGCAGUGAUGAGAAGAGCAGAGGAAACCACGCUGCAGCCAACCUGCAGAAGAUUUUGGCGCACCACCACAGCGCCAUGACUGGAUGGAUGUCUGACCGCUCACGCCAUCAAUACACCUGGAGGAAGGUAUG